Long non-coding RNA from Passer domesticus (house sparrow), 572 nucleotides. RefSeq lists it as uncharacterized. The transcript has 6 exons. Lineage: Eukaryota; Metazoa; Chordata; Aves; Passeriformes; Passeridae. The record is from RefSeq and is a predicted model, not a curated record.
GGGAUAUCACAAUACAGCAACUUUUGUUCCACUGUAGGUACAGCCAGGCUCACACGAGGCUGUUUGUCUGUUGGGGACCACAUUUUUCAUGCUUUUAGGAAUUGGCACACUAGGAUCAUUGUUUCCGUGGGUUUGGAUACUGGUGUUCAUCAGAGAUGGGCUAUUGAAAUUGGGUGGAUCCAUCGUGGCAAUUCCUCUGGUCCAAAAGGGAUCCAGAGGAAAAGAUAAAUGUAAUUUUUUUAUGCUAAAAAAUCAACAGCACAGGGAAUGUAACCCCUUAUUAGGCUUGAGCCUUAUUAAUGUGGAGAUUAAAUACAACACAAAGUUGUAACGUUAUCACCAGAGGAACUUCUUCAGGCUGUGAAUUGCUGUGCUGCCCUGGAGAUCAUUUAUAUAUAGAAGACAUCAUGAAAAAAGUGGAAAAAAUUGUUUGAAAUUGAAAGAUGACCAAACAAGAUAAAUUAGUGUUAAUAUUAAAAAUGAACUUCCUGUGAGAUAAAAAAGCUGGGAAAAGGCAGAAUGAGGGAAAGACCUGACCCACUCCAAAUGCCCCAGGGUGUCAAAAGUGUCCC